RNAcentral lists this small RNA (1852 nucleotides) under Rattus norvegicus (Norway rat). RNAcentral's name for it is "uncharacterized LOC103694249". The record is from RNAcentral. Lineage: Eukaryota; Metazoa; Chordata; Mammalia; Rodentia; Muridae.
ACAAUUACAUUUGGGUCUAAUCCCCUAGAAAACCCAGGAGGAAGAUACACUGCUGGAAGCGAGUGAUAAAAACCAGACCUCUUCAAAGAUAGUAUGUAUGUGUGUUUAUAUAUGUAAUAUUAUGUGUAUGUGUAUGUAUACAUCCAUAUUUAAAAUAUUAUAAUGGCCUACAGGCUGUGGUCUGGCCAGUUCUAGCAAUAGCUGUUCAUGGGAAGGCCAAGAACCUGGCAGUUGUUCCAUCCACGAGGCUGGUUGUCUCAGCUGGGCUCCCAGAGAAGUCAUGACUUUGCUAGGGAGCGUGAGGGCAAGCUGGCAGAAGGCAUGACCUAGAUUUAGGGAAGACCGUCUUCCGUCUUCAGAUGAUCCAAUCAAGAAGAACCCCUUGCAGGUGUGCCGUGCCCUGUGUGGGUUUCAGUUGACUCCAGGAGGGACACACCGUGUGUUUUUGCUGAAGCUUGGUGCCCAGACUCCCACAACCUGAAGGUGGUCAAGAAAGUCUUCCAACUUGGCCAGCAGUUACACUCCCAAGUUGCAGAGAUCACGGCACAGCACCAUUUGUGAAGUCUGAGGGACGAUCAGGACCCACUGUUCAAAAAGAAACCUUUUGAAGCACAAGAAGAAACCUCCUCAACACCGUAUUUAGCUGUAGGAAAGUGAGUAUUUGUUUAACCAAACAGAUCACAAAGUUGCAAACACUGGAUUUACAAGACAGAUGGUGCACACUUGGCCAUGUAUGUGACACAGUAUAUGAGACACUAAAAAUGGCAGGACAACAAUUAAGCCAGAGGACAAACACUACAAGUGAACAAAGCCACCAAAAUUCAAAGCAGCAGCAAGCAUCAGUUGUUGAGAAAUGUAAAUCAGAGCAACUUAGGCACAGAACACCUCACUCCCCAUGUAGGAGGCUCCUCUUCAAGCUGGGUGGAAGAGCUCAAUGCCAACAGGCCCAGCGGCAUGCUGACACACAACUGCUUUGACCCACGUCUGCUCUGUCCCACCUGCAGGACAUCCUGUGAUGGAAAUGUUGGUCUAGGAUGAACGCCUAGGAGGCUGCAGGACAGGACAGGUCAGAGAGUAAAGUGCAGAAGGAGGACCUGAGUUUGGACCCCUAGCUGUAGUGUAAAGUUUGUCACAAUGGCGCACAUCUAUAAUCCCAGCCAGGGGUGGGCUGGGGAGGAGGACAGGGGAUCCUGGGGACAUGCUUGCCCACGAGCCUGGCUGAAAUCAGUGUAGUGUUGACCACAUGUGUAGACACAGGCUAACAGUGGGCAUGUGUACACACACAUGAAGACAAGCCAGAGGGGAGGUCACUCAGUCUUGUGGCAAUAGAGAAGGAGGUACAGAGCCCAUGAUUCUGAAGUUCAGAGCCGGCAGAAGUUGGCACAACUUUCACCAGAUUCUGAAAUACAUUUUAAACUCGUUCUUGCCAUCCAUGCUCAAAAAGCUUUAAAUAGUUUUUAUUCACCCUCACAAGUGUCUUGUUCUUUUCAUGCUCCUUGUCCCAACAGCAUCUUCAGAUGAAGUAAGCACAAGGAUGGGCAGCCCCAGCUGUGACCGUGUGGCCAAUGACGGGGGCACAGCACAGAACAGCCGCCUCCCCACUUUCAGGGCCUGCUGCAUUUUUCUGUUUAAAUGAGUGCCCAGUGCUCAGGCAGGAGGAGACGCUGGGCAGAUGGGCUGACACGGAAGCCACGUGGCUGUGCUCUGGAGUACACGAGAGCGUGCAAGUCCACUGGUAAGAUCCUUACUCUGCUAAUGUCAUCGGCAGUAAAACUGACAGCUCAGCGCACACUGUCUGCAGCUCAGAGCCUAGAGGGUCCUGACUGUUGUCUAUGCUCGGCCCAGGGACUGG